Molecule: ribosomal RNA, 900 nt
Filed under: uncultured archaeon
Lineage: Archaea
Description: bacterial SSU rRNA
Rfam family: Archaeal small subunit ribosomal RNA
Source: RNAcentral
CCAUGCGAGUCGUAUGUCCUCAGACUGCUGAGGACAUGGCGAACGGCUCAGUAACACGUGGCUAACCUACCCUCAAGACGUGGAUAACCCCGGGGAAACUGGGACUAAUCCACGAUAGGCCCAGAUUUCUGGAAUGGAAUCUGGGCUCAAAGGGUGGCAUGAGCAUGUUUCAUGCUACCGCUUGAGGAUGGGGCUACGGCCGAUCAGGCUGUUGGUGGGGUAACGGCCCACCAAACCUUUGACCGGUACGGGCCUUGAGAGAAGGAGCCCGGAGAUGGACACUGAGACAAGGGUCCAGGCCCUAUGGGGCGCAGCAGGCGCGAAACCUUCACAAUGGGCGAAAGCCUGAUGAGGUCAUUCCGAGUGCCGUCCGCUAAGGAUGGCUUUUCCCAAGUCUAAAAAGCUUGGGGAAUAAGGGGAGGGCAAGUCUGGUGUCAGCCGCCGCGGUAAUACCAGCUCCCCGAGUGGUCGGGACGGUUAUUUGGCCUAAAGCAUCCGUAGCCGGUCCUGUCCGUCUCCCGUUAAAUCUAACGGCCCAACCGUUAGGCUGCGGGAGAUACCACAGGACUAGGAGGCGGGAGAGGUGGACGGUACUCCGGGGGUAGGGGUAAAAUCCUCUGAUCCUCGGAAGACCACCAGCGGCGAAGGCGGUCCACCAGAACGCGCUCGACGGUGAGGGAUGAAAGCUGGGGGAGCGAACCGGAUUAGAUACCCGGGUAGUCCCAGCCGUAAACGAUGCGAGCUAGGUGACAGAGCAGCCUAAGGGCUGCUCUGCUGCCGCAGGGAAGCCGUUAAGCUCGCCGCCUGGGGAGUACGGACGCAAGUCUGAAACUUAAAGGAAUUGGCGGGGGAGCACCACAAGGGGUGAAGCCUGCGGUUCAAUUGGAUUCAACGCCGGGA